This 512-nucleotide ribosomal RNA is filed under the name uncultured bacterium. Its description in RNAcentral is "partial 16S ribosomal RNA". It matches the Rfam family "Bacterial small subunit ribosomal RNA", at positions 28 to 507 of the family's 1533-position model. The record is from RNAcentral.
GAUGAACGCUGGCGGCGUGCCUAAUACAUGCAAGUCGAACGAAACUUCUCUAUUAUCGCGUGCUUCCCCUCACCGAUAAAGCGUUGAGUCACGAACGGGUGCGUAACUUGUCGGCAAGCUGACCAAAGGAGGGGGAUAACAAUUGGAAACAGGAGCUACUACCGCAUAAUCAUAGUUACCGCAUGGCAACGAUGUAGAAUGUGGCUAUGCUACCGCUUCUUGUUGGGCCGGCGGCGCAUUAGCUAGUUGGUAGGGUAAAGGCAUACCAAGGCAAUGAUGGGUAGCCGAAGUGAGUGGUUGGUCGGCCACAUUGGGACUGGGACACGGCCCAAACGCCUACGGGAGGCAGCAGUAGGGAAUCUUCCACAAUGGGGGAGAGCCUGAUGGAGCAACGCCGCGUGGGUGGAGGAGGUCUUCGGAUCGGAAAACCCUGUUGUUAGAGAAGAAAGUGCGUGAGAGUAACUGUUCACGUUUCGACGGUAUCUAACCAGAAAGCCACGGCUAACUACGUG